GAUGAACGCUGGCGGCGUGCCUAAUACAUGCAAGUCGAGCGAACGGACGAGAAGCUUGCUUCUCUGAUGUUAGCGGCGGACGGGUGAGUAACACGUGGAUAACCUACCUAUAAGACUGGGAUAACUUCGGGAAACUGGAGCUAAUACCGGAUAAUAUUUUGAACCGCAUGGUUCAAAAGUGAAAGACGGUCUUGCUGUCACUUAUAGAUGGAUCCGCGCUGCAUUAGCUAGUUGGUAAGGUAACGGCUUACCAAGGCAACGAUGCAUAGCCGACCUGAGAGGGUGAUCGGCCACACUGGAACUGAGACACGGUCCAGACUCCUACGGGAGGCAGCAGUAGGGAAUCUUCCGCAAUGGGCGAAAGCCUGACGGAGCAACGCCGCGUGAGUGAUGAAGGUCUUCGGAUCGUAAAACUCUGUUAUUAGGGAAGAACAUAUGUGUAAGUAACUGUGCACAUCUUGACGGUACCUAAUCAGAAAGCCACGGCUAACUACGUGCCAGCAGCCGCGGUAAUACGUAGGUGGCAAGCGUUAUCCGGAAUUAUUUGGGCGUAAGCGCGCGUAGGCGGUUUUUUAAGUCUGAUGUGAAAGCCCACGGCUCAACCGUGGAGGGUCAUUGGAAACUGGAAAACUUGAGUGCAGAAGAGGAAAGUGGAAUUCCAUGUGUAGCGGUGAAAUGCGCAGAGAUAUGGAGGAACACCAGUGGCGAAGGCGACUUUCUGGUCUGUAACUGACGCUGAUGUGCGAAAGCGUGGGGAUCAAACAGGAUUAGAUACCCUGGUAGUCCACGCCGUAAACGAUGAGUGCUAAGUGUUAGGGGGUUUCCGCCCCUUAGUGCUGCAGCUAACGCAUUAAGCACUCCGCCUGGGGAGUACGACCGCAAGGUUGAAACUCAAAGGAAUUGACGGGGACCCGCACAAGCGGUGGAGCAUGUGGUUUAAUUCGAAGCAACGCGAAGAACCUUACCAAAUCUUGACAUCCUUUGACAACUCUAGAGAUAGAGCCUUCCCCUUCGGGGGACAAAGUGACAGGUGGUGCAUGGUUGUCGUCAGCUCGUGUCGUGAGAUGUUGGGUUAAGUCCCGCAACGAGCGCAACCCUUAAGCUUAGUUGCCAUCAUUAAGUUGGGCACUCUAAGUUGACUGCCGGUGACAAACCGGAGGAAGGUGGGGAUGACGUCAAAUCAUCAUGCCCCUUAUGAUUUGGGCUACACACGUGCUACAAUGGACAAUACAAAGGGCAGCGAAACCGCGAGGUCAAGCAAAUCCCAUAAAGUUGUUCUCAGUUCGGAUUGUAGUCUGCAACUCGACUACAUGAAGCUGGAAUCGCUAGUAAUCGUAGAUCAGCAUGCUACGGUGAAUACGUUCCCGGGUCU
This 1372-nucleotide ribosomal RNA is filed under the name uncultured bacterium. Its description in RNAcentral is "bacterial SSU rRNA". It matches the Rfam family "Bacterial small subunit ribosomal RNA", at positions 28 to 1381 of the family's 1533-position model. The record is from RNAcentral.